Molecule: long non-coding RNA, 2408 nt
Organism: Nematostella vectensis (starlet sea anemone)
Lineage: Eukaryota; Metazoa; Cnidaria; Anthozoa; Actiniaria; Edwardsiidae
Exons: 2
Source: RefSeq, a predicted model, not a curated record
AGAACCACAGGGCUCCCGCGCGAUGACCUUAUAUACCAUUUUUCUAUACCUAUGGGGCUCUAAUGGGGCUCCUCUAUGAUGCUAGAUGGCACUAGGGUGCGGAGAUCGGCGAGUACCGAGCGGGUUCAAUGGCCUAAGUGUGAACGUCUGCUCCAUCCAGCUGACACGAGGACCCAACACACGGGUAAUCCACCCGCCUCCAUCACACCCCAGCGCCGUUUGCGUAGUACCACUGCUGUAGACGGCAGCAAUAAAUGCUUUCCAACGUAUCAUCGUGCAGUUGGAAAGCGUUUUCGUUACGGUUCUGAGCAUGUGUUAUCACAUUCCGUGAUCUUUUGUUUUGAUAAUAACAACUAUUGUUUUAUGUUUGCAAAAUUACGUAACUACGUUAGCACUACAGAUCGUAUAAGUAUGAGAGAGAUGAAUUUUUUCAUGUUUUAAAAAUAAAUAAAAAAAAGUAUUCUCUCGACGGUAUGUAUUAUCAAGGGAUUUAGAUUAGGUAUUUAAGUAGGUUUUUGUGUUUUUUCAUUCUCUUGGUGUUCGCUCUCGAACCACUGUUACUUUUUUUAUAUGUUCUUUUUUAGAUUGGCGUAUUUAGCGGAUAAGGUAUUUUUUUGUUUUUAUUGUUAGUAACGUUUCAUUGAUUUUGUUUUGUUUUGUAUUUUCAGGUUGUUGAUCUUCGCUUUAUCAUUCGUUAGUUCGUUAUUUUUAUAAUCAUUCCGUUUUGUAGAGAAUUCUGAUAUCUAUGCCUCGGAUGGGCUAGUAAAGGUUAUGCGCCGGAUGCGCAGUUUGUCAAAGAUGCGGGCUAAGGAAAUGCGCCGGAUGCGCAGUUUGCCCCAGAUGCAGGCCUAAUGAUAUGCGCCGGAUGCGCAGUUUGACCCAGAUGCAGGCCUAAUGAUAUGCGCCGGAUGCGCAGUUUGCCCCAGAUGCGGGCCUAAUGAUAUGCGCCGGAUGCGCAGUUUGCCCCAGAUGCGGGCCUAAUGAUAUGCGCCGGAUGCGCAGUUUGUCCCAGAUGCGGGCUAAGGAUAUGCGCCGGAUGCGCGGUUUGCCCCGGAUGGGCUUUAGCCGGAUUAUGCGCCGGAUGCGCAGUUUGUCCCGGAUGGGCUUUUUUAUUUAUACUGUGUAUGUUUUUUUUAAUAAAUUAAUUUAGUAAGGCAAUCUUGGUUAUUCUAUCUAUUCUGGGUUUAUUGUUUGUUUGCUUUUUCUAUUAUUAUUUUCACAGUUUUCAGAUGCUAUGGUCCGACUUCAAGUCCGCCAUACCCUGUCAUUCUUCACGCAGUAGAUAAAGUACAACAGACUGUUUUACGUUCAAAAUUUGAUGGAACUGUCAAGACCUAUUCAGGGGGUUUCAAUCGUUGGAAGCACUGGGAGACUAGCAAUCAUUUAAGUCAUUUUCCUGCUAACCCAUUCUAUGUUGCAGUUUAUCUUCAGUGCUUAUUGGAAUCAGCACAAAGCCCUUCGCCCAACUUAUUCUAUUGACUAGGCGCACUGCCUUGGGGGGCUACCAAAGAUCUCGGAUCAUGCUAUAGUAAAGGCGAUGCUUGAUGCUUCCAAAAGAAUACUGGGAAAGUCUAGAAACAAAAAAGAACCAGUAACUGCAGAGAUGCUGUUGGCGUUGGUCUCAAAGUUUGGGAAAAAUCCUGCUCUGAGUGACUGCAGAUCUCUAGUCUUGUGUUUAAUUGGUUCUGCGGGUUUUCUGCGGUUCAGUGAAAUUUGUAGUAUUAGAUGUUGUGAUGUUAAAUUGUUCCCCUAGUAUGAUUUUAUCUUUAUAGAGUCUUCUAAGACUGAUCAACUACGCGAGGGAGCCUGGGUGACAAUUGCUCGUUCUGAAUUGGUGACAUGUCCGGUAGCUGCCCUGGAGAAAUACAUAGCAUUCGCUGACUUAAAACUGGACGAUGAUCUGCCUUUAUUCCGUGUUUUAGCUGGACCAUCUUGCUCUAACAAGGUGCGCUCUCAAGGAGGCGUUCACUGGGAUUACAGACGUGUCGAAGAUUAGUCGCCACAGCCUUAGAUUUGGUGGAGCUACAGCCGCAGCCAAUAACGGGAUUCCCGAUAGACUUUUAAAACGUCAUGGCAAUGGUCGAGUGAGAAUGCUUAAGACGGCUAUGUUAAAGACAAUCUAGACUUACUUUUAUCUGUUUCCAGAAACUUAGGAAUUUAAUUUGCCUUGCCCAGCUGGCAUAAGAGGAGCGGUCCUUAGGGCUGGGGUUUUCCCCGUGUUUUCAAUGUGUAUAAGUGCUGCGGAGCACAUAGGGGUUUUGUCACCCUUUGGAACUUCCGCACGCCCUCUUUUCAGAUAUUAUCUAGACAAGGUAUCAAUUUUUAAUAUUUAAACACUCACUCACGCAGUAUGUUUGUAAAUACAACUAAUAAAAUUGUGCGGUUCUCAGCCGAGCACACGACAUAUA